UCACUCCAGCAUCUCCUCCAAAUCUGUCAAUGAAAUCACCUUGGAGGUUCACUCUUUGCAUGAUGGGAUUGCUCGAUCUCGAGAAGCACUUCGCCUUCUACGGUGCUUACCACAGCAACCCAAUCAACAUCGUAAUCCACAUCUGCUUGGAUAAGAAAUCUGGGUUCGUUGCGGCUCUCAUGUGUUUCGCUUGCUGGGUCGGUUCCAGUGUCUUCGCUGAUCGAUUAGGACCUUCUCUUGCCGUAAAGGCUUGAUUUUUUCUCUUUUGUCUGAAUCUAAAAAAGUUUUCUUUUUGGAGGAGUGUAUUUAUGAGAGCAUGUGCAUCCAUGUGUGUGUGUGUGUGCGCGCGCUUCAUGCAUUUAUUCCAGCUAGCUCCACCUUUCGAGUUUGCAUUGUUGGUUCCAAGACUUGUAAUUGGUAUUAGUGUUACGAUCUCGUUUGUGAAGAGGUUCAAGUGUUUUGGAUCAUUUGAUUAAGUUUGUUAUGGAUUAUUCCCUCGUUGAAAUCCAUCUGUUAUGUAGACACUAACAAUUUUCAGUUUUUUCUCAGGUUGGGUUAGCCUCUUAUUGAUGUAGUGAAGAGAGUGGAUUUGAGGAAACCCACAUUGUGGAAUCAGUUUCAUGGGAUGAUCUUGAGAGAAACGCUGCUAGUAAAGCCGGUGGUUCUUCUAAAAGACAUCACUCCUGGAGAUCUCACCAGCACGACCCCAGUGUCUUCGCUGAUCGAUUAGGACCUUCUCUUGCCGUAAAGGCUUGAUUUUUUCUCUUUUGUCUGAAUCUAAAAAAGUUUUCUUUUUGGAGGAGUGUAUUUAUGAGAGCAUGUGCAUCCGUG
This 831-nucleotide long non-coding RNA is filed under the name Brassica napus (rape). RNAcentral's name for it is "long non-coding RNA (BNAP_LNC014426)". Lineage: Eukaryota; Viridiplantae; Streptophyta; Magnoliopsida; Brassicales; Brassicaceae. The record is from RNAcentral.